UACAGAGGGGGCAAGCGUUGUUCGGAAUUACUGGGCGUAAAGCGCGUGUAGGCGGGUCUUUAAGUCAGGGGUGAAAUGCCAAGGCUCAACCUUGGAACUGCCUUUGAUACUGGAGAUCUUGAGUCCGGGAGAGGUGAGUGGAACUGCGAGUGUAGAGGUGAAAUUCGUAGAUAUUCGCAAGAACACCAGUGGCGAAGGCGGCUCACUGGCCCGGUACUGACGCUGAGGCACGAAAGCGUGGGGAGCAAACAGG
This 253-nucleotide ribosomal RNA is filed under the name uncultured bacterium. RNAcentral describes it as "partial 16S ribosomal RNA". It matches the Rfam family "Bacterial small subunit ribosomal RNA", at positions 524 to 776 of the family's 1533-position model. The record is from RNAcentral.